Molecule: ribosomal RNA, 1369 nt
Filed under: Vibrio parahaemolyticus
Lineage: Bacteria; Pseudomonadati; Pseudomonadota; Gammaproteobacteria; Vibrionales; Vibrionaceae
Description: partial 23S ribosomal RNA
Rfam family: Bacterial large subunit ribosomal RNA
Source: RNAcentral
GAAGUCAUUGAUGCCAUGCUUCCAGGAAAAGCCUCUAAGCUUCAGAUUGUAAGGAAUCGUACCCCAAACCGACACAGGUGGUCGGGUAGAGAAUACCAAGGCGCUUGAGAGAACUCGGGUGAAGGAACUAGGCAAAAUGGUACCGUAACUUCGGGAGAAGGUACGCUCUCGACGGUGAAGUCCCUCGCGGAUGGAGCUAUUGAGAGUCGCAGAUACCAGGUGGCUGCAACUGUUUAUUAAAAACACAGCACUGUGCAAAAUCGUAAGAUGACGUAUACGGUGUGACGCCUGCCCGGUGCCGGAAGGUUAAUUGAUGGGGUUAGACUUCGGUCGAAGCUCUUGAUCGAAGCCCCGGUAAACGGCGGCCGUAACUAUAACGGUCCUAAGGUAGCGAAAUUCCUUGUCGGGUAAGUUCCGACCUGCACGAAUGGCGUAAUGAUGGCCACGCUGUCUCCACCCGAGACUCAGUGAAAUUGAAAUCGCUGUGAAGAUGCAGUGUACCCGCGGCUAGACGGAAAGACCCCGUGAACCUUUACUACAGCUUGGCACUGAACAUUGACCCUACAUGUGUAGGAUAGGUGGGAGGCUUUGAAGCACGUACGCCAGUAUGUGUGGAGCCGUCCUUGAAAUACCACCCUUGUAGUGUUGAUGUUCUAACGUCGACCCCUUAUCGGGGUUGCGGACAGUGCCUGGUGGGUAGUUUGACUGGGGCGGUCUCCUCCCAAAGAGUAACGGAGGAGCACGAAGGUGGGCUAAUCACGGUUGGACAUCGUGAGGUUAGUGCAAUGGCAUAAGCCCGCUUGACUGCGAGAAUGACAAUUCGAGCAGGUGCGAAAGCAGGUCAUAGUGAUCCGGUGGUUCUGAAUGGAAGGGCCAUCGCUCAACGGAUAAAAGGUACUCCGGGGAUAACAGGCUGAUACCGCCCAAGAGUUCAUAUCGACGGCGGUGUUUGGCACCUCGAUGUCGGCUCAUCACAUCCUGGGGCUGAAGUCGGUCCCAAGGGUAUGGCUGUUCGCCAUUUAAAGUGGUACGCGAGCUGGGUUUAGAACGUCGUGAGACAGUUCGGUCCCUAUCUGCCGUGGGCGUUGGAAGAUUGAAGGGGGCUGCUCCUAGUACGAGAGGACCGGAGUGGACGAACCUCUGGUGUUCGGGUUGUGUCGCCAGACGCAUUGCCCGGUAGCUAAGUUCGGAAUCGAUAACCGCUGAAAGCAUCUAAGCGGGAAGCGAGCCCUGAGAUGAGUCUUCCCUGAUACUUUAAGUAUCCUAAAGGGUUGUCGGAGACUACGACGUUGAUAGGUCAGGUGUGUAAGUGCUGUGAGGCAUUGAGCUAACUGAUACUAAUUGCCCGUGAGGCUUAACCAUACAACAC